UAAGACGUAGGAGGCAAGCGUUAUCCGGAUUUAUUGGGCGUAAAGCGUAUGUAGGCGGUUUGGUAAGUUGGAUGUGAAAUCUUUUGGCUUAACUGAGAGAGGUCGUUCAAAACUACCAACCUAGAGAGUUGUAGAGGAAGAUGGAAUUCCGGGUGUAGUGGUGAAAUGCGUAGAUAUCCGGAGGAACACCAGUGGCGAAAGCGGUCUUCUAGGCAACUUCUGACGCUCAGAUACGAAAGCUAGGGGAGCAAACGGG
RNAcentral lists this ribosomal RNA (256 nucleotides) under uncultured bacterium. RNAcentral's name for it is "partial 16S ribosomal RNA". It matches the Rfam family "Bacterial small subunit ribosomal RNA", at positions 521 to 776 of the family's 1533-position model. The record is from RNAcentral.